This 84-nucleotide transfer RNA is filed under the name bacterium. Its description in RNAcentral is "tRNA-Leu". It matches the Rfam family "tRNA". Rfam says of the family: Transfer RNA (tRNA) molecules are approximately 80 nucleotides in length. Their secondary structure includes four short double-helical elements and three loops (D, anti-codon, and T loops). The record is from RNAcentral.
GCCGGGGUGGUGAAACUGGCAGACGCGCCGGACUCAAAAUCCGGUUCCCGCAAGGGAGUGAGGGUUCGAUUCCCUCCCCCGGCA